AUCAACUUUCGAUGGUAGGAUAGAGGCCUACCAUGGUGGUGACGGGUAACGGGGUGUUAGGGCACGACACCGGAGAGGGAGCCUGAGAAACGGCUACCACAUCCAAGGAUGGCAGCAGGCGCGCAAAUUACCCAAUCCCGACACGGGGAGGUAGUGACAAUAAAUAACAAUACGGGGUUCUUUCGGAUUUCGUAAUUGGAAUGAGUACAAUUUAAAUCUCUUAACGAGGAACAAUUGGAGGGCAAGUCUGGUGCCAGCAGCCGCGGUAAUUCCAGCUCCAAUAGCGUAUAUUAAAGUUGCUGCAGUUAAAAAGCUCGUAGUUGAAUUUCGGGACCAAUAUGUCGGUCGUGCCUCGGUACGUACUGGCAUCGUUGGUUUCUCCCUUCUGACGAACCAUGAUGUCAUUUAUUUGGUGUCGUGGGGAAUCAGGACUGUUACUUUGAAAAAAUUAGAGUGUUUAAAGCAGGCUCACGCUUGAAUACAUUAGCAUGGAAUAAUGAAAUAGGACGUUUGAUUCUAUUUUGUUGGUUUCUAGGAUCGACGUAAUGAUUAAUAGGGAUAGUUGGGGGCAUUAGUAUUCAAUUGUCAGAGGUGAAAUUCUUGGAUUUAUUGAAGACUAACUACUGCGAAAGCAUUUGCCAAGGAUGUUUUCAUUAAUCAAGAACGAAAGUUAGGGGAUCGAAGACGAUCAGAUACCGUCGUAGUCUUAACCAUAAACUAUGCCGACUAGGGAUCGGAUGAUGUUAAUUUUUUAAUGACUCAUUCGGCGCCUUACGGGAAACCAAAGUGUUUGGGUUC
This 798-nucleotide ribosomal RNA is filed under the name uncultured Glomus. Its description in RNAcentral is "SSU rRNA". It matches the Rfam family "Eukaryotic small subunit ribosomal RNA", at positions 314 to 1114 of the family's 1831-position model. The record is from RNAcentral. Lineage: Eukaryota; Fungi; Glomeromycota; Glomeromycetes; Glomerales; Glomeraceae.